RNAcentral lists this microRNA precursor (61 nucleotides) under Pristionchus pacificus. RNAcentral's name for it is "mir-8364 microRNA precursor family". It matches the Rfam family "mir-8364 microRNA precursor family". Lineage: Eukaryota; Metazoa; Nematoda; Chromadorea; Rhabditida; Neodiplogasteridae. The record is from Rfam by way of RNAcentral.
UCUUCAUUUCACACACUCUCUCGUCUUACUGACUGGUGAGAUAGUGUGAAGAAUGAAGAGA